This is an RNA transcript of Dreissena polymorpha, 907 nucleotides long. RefSeq lists it as uncharacterized. NCBI's taxonomy places the organism in Eukaryota, Metazoa, Mollusca, Bivalvia, Myida, Dreissenidae. The transcript has 4 exons. The record is from RefSeq and is a predicted model, not a curated record.
AAAUGCGCUGGAUAUUUCGUCUUUUUCAUACAAUUUCUCUGCUCAUAAUUUAUGACAUGCUUUGAAAAUCUCCACAAUAUAGCAUGACUAUGUCCUUUAAACACUGGCACAAUUGGUGGUUUGUAAUCCGCUUAUUUAAUUCAAAUUAUUCCCCUUGAAAGACACUGUUUCGUUUGAGCAGUUCACAGGUAGCGCAACCUGUCUCGUAGUGUUCAUCUUCAAUGGCUAUUAAACGCUGUAAAUCAAAAUGAAAUCGUGUACUAAUGGAUGUCUUCAAUCGAAGAAGGUUCGGAAAUGAUAUUUCCACAUGCUUAAAAUAGGUUGGGAAGUUACGGUCUUGGCGAACAGCAUUCUCACUUUCAGUGUGACAACUGUUGCGGCCAAAAUAAAAACAACAUAGUCAUCUGGUACCUUCUGUGGGGAGUUCUUGUAGGUUUACACAGAAUCAUCACACUAAGCUUUAUGUUGAUAAGACAUACAAAGUUUACACCAGAUUGGCACUUUGGCAUCUGGAAGUCAAAGUGGAGAAACUUCAAUGCAGAAAUGUUGUCUGAUGUCGCUGCGUCUGUGGGGUUAUCGUCAAGGACGGGCCACAACAUCCCCCAGCUUGUGGGGGACUCUUCCAAUCCUGUUGUUAUCUAAGACAGGAAUGAUUACCUUACGACAUUGUUUCACCACAUAAAGAAUGUCACCAAAUUUCAUCAAUUUCCAUGUGUCAGCGGAGCAUCCCGGUGUUGUGGAAUGCAGGGAAUUUAGUGACUCACCAGUAAUCAGAAUCACUCUCAGGAAGGUCUCGAAAGUGAAUGUUAAUGUGAGCUGUGACAACCUGCCAUAAGCUGAAAUUGCAAGUCCACUUCACAAUCUUUACUAUGUUUCACUAAAUACUGGUAAUAGGGUCACACGGAUU